Molecule: non-coding RNA, 72 nt
Organism: Saccharomycodes ludwigii
Lineage: Eukaryota; Fungi; Ascomycota; Saccharomycetes; Saccharomycodales; Saccharomycodaceae
Source: the annotation of a RefSeq genome assembly
GUUCUAGUGGUGUAGUGGAAUCACGUUACCUUCACACGGUAAAGGCCCCGAGUUCGAACCUCGGUUGGAACA